RNAcentral lists this long non-coding RNA (521 nucleotides) under Pan troglodytes (chimpanzee). RNAcentral's name for it is "long non-coding RNA NONPTRT001951". The record is from RNAcentral. Lineage: Eukaryota; Metazoa; Chordata; Mammalia; Primates; Hominidae.
CAUGACGGCGCCGGGCUCUAAUGGCCAGAACCUGUAGGGGCGACGGAAUAUUCUUUCCUUUACAGCCUGCCAUCUUCCACGUCAUCUGAAUCUCCUCUGACUAAGGCAGGGAAUGGGAGGGCUAACUAUGGAUAGUCAAGAUACAAAGUGUUGUUCGUGUCAAUAGUCUACUGACUCUUUAACCCUCUGUGUACUUCAUCGUUAUCUACUGAAAAAAAAAAAGUACUGAUGUCUUUAUCCUUGGAGAGGAGAGGUGUAAUCGAGAUGGAGAAGAUGAGACAAAUGGAGCACAUAGAAGCCACACAACAUUCCUAAAGUCACGCAGCUGGAGGCCGCACAGCCAGAUGGCUCCAGAGGACAUGUCCUGAAUCAUGAUGUUGCUAUUUGGCAGAAACAUUGCUGCAGAAAGUCAGACCACAGAUGGGGACUGGUGGAAACCAAACAUAUGACUACAUCAGUCUACAAAAGCAUCAUGGUAUUCCCACAUAAUUCAGAAGCAUGCCAGGCCAUUCAGAAUCUAC